GACUGAAGUAUAAGACUUUGAACAAGAUGUAGCAUUGAGUCUAUGAAGAGUGGUGAGGGGAUUGGAGUGGCGGAGAUUCCAUUUAACAAUCAAGUUUAAUUGGACAGGGAAGAAGUUAAAAAGAGGCUUUUCAGCCCUUAAGUUCACGAAAGUUAUAACACGGGCUGUACGAAAAAACCGCCUUACGGCAAAGGCCACUGACAAUGAGGUCGACAAUAUAGCCAAAGACUGGUUUAGGUAUGCAGGGGACCGAGAAGGGGGCAGACAAAAAAGAGAAGAAAUUAAAAGACAGAAAGAGGCGGCGACAGCUGCACUGAUGGCAUCGGCUACCGAUCAUCCAGUGUAAAAAAUAAAAAG
This is a long non-coding RNA of Mizuhopecten yessoensis (Yesso scallop), 357 nucleotides long. RefSeq lists it as uncharacterized. Lineage: Eukaryota; Metazoa; Mollusca; Bivalvia; Pectinida; Pectinidae. The transcript is spliced from 3 exons. The record is from RefSeq and is a predicted model, not a curated record.